Molecule: ribosomal RNA, 253 nt
Filed under: uncultured bacterium
Lineage: Bacteria
Description: partial 16S ribosomal RNA
Rfam family: Bacterial small subunit ribosomal RNA
Source: RNAcentral
UACGUAGGGUGCAAGCGUUAAUCGGAAUUACUGGGCGUAAAGCGUGCGCAGGCGGUUGUGUAAGACAGAUGUGAAAUCCCCGGGCUCAACCUGGGAACUGCAUUUGUGACUGCAUAGCUGGAGUGCGGCAGAGGGGGAUGGAAUUCCGCGUGUAGCAGUGAAAUGCGUAGAUAUGCGGAGGAACACCGAUGGCGAAGGCAAUCCCCUGGGCCUGCACUGACGCUCAUGCACGAAAGCGUGGGGAGCAAACAGG